ACCUGUUCCCAUUCCGAACACAGAAGUUAAGCUCACUCGUGCCCAAGAUAGUUCGCUGGAAACGGCGCGUGAAAAUAGGUAGUCGCCGACU
This 91-nucleotide ribosomal RNA is filed under the name Faecalibacterium prausnitzii. The record is from RNAcentral. RNAcentral also lists the same sequence under 1 other name. Lineage: Bacteria; Bacillati; Bacillota; Clostridia; Eubacteriales; Oscillospiraceae.